RNAcentral lists this transfer RNA (68 nucleotides) under Loxodonta africana (African savanna elephant). It matches the Rfam family "tRNA". From Rfam's summary of the family: Transfer RNA (tRNA) molecules are approximately 80 nucleotides in length. Lineage: Eukaryota; Metazoa; Chordata; Mammalia; Proboscidea; Elephantidae. The record is from Rfam by way of RNAcentral.
GCGGUGGUUCAGUGGUAGAAUUCUCACCUUCCAUGAGGGAGACAUGGGUUCGAUCCCCAGCCAAUGCA